GGUCAGGUGGUGUAAUGGUUAACACCCCUGCUAUAUACUGUAUGCAGACGGCCUGGGUUAAAUCCCCAGUCUGCCCA
Non-coding RNA from Hysterangium stoloniferum, 77 nucleotides. The record is from the annotation of a GenBank genome assembly. Lineage: Eukaryota; Fungi; Basidiomycota; Agaricomycetes; Hysterangiales; Hysterangiaceae.